GACGAACGCUGGCGGCGUGCUUAACACAUGCAAGUCGAACGGAAAGGCCCUGCUUUUGUGGGGCGCUCGAGUGGCGAACGCGUGAGUAACACGUGAGUAACCUGCCCCUGACUUUGGGAUAACUCCAGGAAACAGGGGCUCAUACCGGAUAGGAGCUCCUGCUGCAUGGUGUGGGAUGGUAAGAUUCGGCGGUGGGGGAUCGACUCGCGGCUUAUCAGCUUGUUGGGGGAGUAGUGGCUUACCAAGGGUUUGACGGGUAGCCGGCCUGGGAGGGUGACCGGCCACAUUGGGACUGCGAUACGGCCCAGACGCCUACGGGAGGCAGCAGGGGGGAGUAUGGCGCAGUGGGCGGAAGCGUGAGGCAGCAGCGCCGCGUGCGGGAUGACGGGUUUCGGGUUGUGAACCGCUUUGGCAUGAGACGUAGAGUGAGUGACGGUAAUGGGUAAGGAAGCACCGGCUAACUACGUG
This 468-nucleotide ribosomal RNA is filed under the name uncultured bacterium. Its description in RNAcentral is "partial 16S ribosomal RNA". It matches the Rfam family "Bacterial small subunit ribosomal RNA", at positions 28 to 507 of the family's 1533-position model. The record is from RNAcentral.